This 922-nucleotide ribosomal RNA is filed under the name uncultured bacterium. RNAcentral's name for it is "bacterial SSU rRNA". It matches the Rfam family "Bacterial small subunit ribosomal RNA", at positions 9 to 916 of the family's 1533-position model. The record is from RNAcentral.
GAGUUUGAUCCUGGCUCAGGAUGAACGCUAGCGACAGGCUUAACACAUGCAAGUCGAGGGGCAGCGGGGGCGAAGCUUGCUUCGCCUGUCGGCGACCGGCGCACGGGUGAGUAACACGUAUGAAACCUGCCCGUAGCAGGGGGAUAAGCGGAAGAAAUUCCGUCUAAUACCGCGUAACAACCCAUGGAGGCAUCUCCGUGGGUUUAAAGGAAGCGAUUCCGGCUACGGAUGGUCAUGCGUCGCAUUAGCUUGUUGGCGGGGUAACGGCCCACCAAGGCGACGAUGCGUAGGGGUUCUGAGAGGAAGGUCCCCCACACUGGUACUGAGACACGGACCAGACUCCUACGGGAGGCAGCAGUGAGGAAUAUUGGUCAAUGGCCGCAGGGCUGAACCAGCCAAGUCGCGUGAGGGAUGACGGUCCUAUGGAUUGUAAACCUCUUUUGUCAGGGGGCAAAGGGCGCCACGUGUGGCGUUUUGCGAGUACCUGAAGAAAAAGCAUCGGCUAACUCCGUGCCAGCAGCCGCGGUAAUACGGAGGAUGCGAGCGUUAUCCGGAUUUAUUGGGUUUAAAGGGUGCGCAGGCGGAAUGUCAAGUCAGCGGUAAAAUUUCGGGGCUCAACCCCGUCGUGCCGUUGAAACUGGCGUUCUUGAGUGAGCGAGAAGUAUGCGGAAUGCGUGGUGUAGCGGUGAAAUGCAUAGAUAUCACGCAGAACUCCGAUUGCGAAGGCAGCAUACCGGCGCUCAACUGACGCUCAUGCACGAAAGCGUGGGUAUCGAACAGGAUUAGAUACCCUGGUAGUCCACGCAGUAAACGAUGAAUACUAACUGUCCGGGCCGAUUGAGGUCUGGGUGGUACAGCGAAAGCGUUAAGUAUUCCACCUGGGGAGUACGCCGGCAACGGUGAAACUCAAAGGAAUUGACGG